This is a long non-coding RNA of Octopus sinensis (East Asian common octopus), 140 nucleotides long. RefSeq lists it as uncharacterized. The transcript is spliced from 4 exons. Lineage: Eukaryota; Metazoa; Mollusca; Cephalopoda; Octopoda; Octopodidae. The record is from RefSeq and is a predicted model, not a curated record.
AUCAAUUUGGCGAAGAAACUAAAGAGAAAAUAUUACGACGAUGACCACCACAGAUCUACAAUGGAAGAAUUCACCACGUGUAGUUGAGGGUAAAAGAAAACGUUGAACGACAAUGUUUUCUGGAAAUAUUCAAACAAGUG